AUGUGGAGAGGUACGCCUUUCAGUACGAAACCAAGACAAGUACCAGUGACAGCACUGUUGUCCUCUACCUGGAAAAGCUCUCCCAUGAGAAGAACACGGUGCUGGGCUUUUGGGUUCACAGGAUGCUGCAGGCGGAGUUCCUGCAGGCCGCCCUCGUCACCAUCUACGACUACUACGAGCCUUAAGCCCAGUGACCAAUUGAGGCAGGAGGAGCUCCAGACAACAGCCUGUGAGGCAGGCGUGGAUUUUGUGUACAAGACAAAGCUAGAAUCUGUGGAGGUCUCUGCCUCCAACCCUUACGUCUAUUACAACAUGCAGGCUCGAAGACAUCAUUAA
RNAcentral lists this long non-coding RNA (336 nucleotides) under Pongo abelii (Sumatran orangutan). RNAcentral describes it as "lncRNA (ENSPPYG00000029998.1)". The record is from RNAcentral. Lineage: Eukaryota; Metazoa; Chordata; Mammalia; Primates; Hominidae.